RNAcentral lists this ribosomal RNA (429 nucleotides) under Chloroflexota bacterium. RNAcentral describes it as "Chloroflexi bacterium partial 16S ribosomal RNA". It matches the Rfam family "Bacterial small subunit ribosomal RNA", at positions 355 to 776 of the family's 1533-position model. The record is from RNAcentral. Lineage: Bacteria; Bacillati; Chloroflexota.
UGGGGAAUAUUGCACAAUGGGCGCAAGCCUGAUGCAGCCAUGCCGCGUGUAUGAAGAAGGCCUUCGGGUUGUAAAGUACUUUCAGCGGGGAGGAAGGGAGUAAAGUUAAUACCUUUGCUCAUUGACGUUACCCGCAGAAGAAGCACCGGCUAACUCCGUGCCAGCAGCCGCGGUAAUACGGAGGGUGCAAGCGUUAAUCGGAAUUACUGGGCGUAAAGCGCACGCAGGCGGUUUGUUAAGUCAGAUGUGAAAUCCUCGGGCUCAACCUGGGAACUGCAUCUGCUACUGGCAAGCUUGAGUCUCGUAGAGGGGGGUAGAAUUCCAGGUGUAGCGGUGAAAUGCGUAGAGAUCUGGAGGAAUACCGGUGGCGAAGGCGGCCCCCUGGACGAAGACUGACGAUCAGGUGCGAAAGCGUGGGGAGCAAACAGG